UCUGGGCACUGUCUCAACGAGAGACUCGGUGAAAUUAUCGUACCUGUGAAGAUGCAGGUUACCCGCGACAGGACGGAAAGACCCCGUGGAGCUUUACUGCAGCCUGAUAUUGAAUGUUGGUACAGCUUGUACAGGAUAGGUAGGAGCCUUGGAAACCGAAGCUGGCGCUCCGGU
This 174-nucleotide ribosomal RNA is filed under the name Bacillus subtilis. Its description in RNAcentral is "partial 23S ribosomal RNA". It matches the Rfam family "Bacterial large subunit ribosomal RNA", at positions 2008 to 2181 of the family's 2925-position model. Lineage: Bacteria; Bacillati; Bacillota; Bacilli; Caryophanales; Bacillaceae. The record is from RNAcentral.